GCGAGUCUAACUCAGUGGUAGAGCACAUGCUUAGCAUGCAUGAAAUCCUGGGUUCAAUCCCCAGUACCUCCA
RNAcentral lists this transfer RNA (72 nucleotides) under Camelus bactrianus (Bactrian camel). It matches the Rfam family "tRNA". Rfam says of the family: Transfer RNA (tRNA) molecules are approximately 80 nucleotides in length. Their secondary structure includes four short double-helical elements and three loops (D, anti-codon, and T loops). The record is from Rfam by way of RNAcentral. Lineage: Eukaryota; Metazoa; Chordata; Mammalia; Artiodactyla; Camelidae. RNAcentral also lists the same sequence under 1 other name.